Molecule: ribosomal RNA, 253 nt
Filed under: uncultured bacterium
Lineage: Bacteria
Description: partial 16S ribosomal RNA
Rfam family: Bacterial small subunit ribosomal RNA
Source: RNAcentral
GACGAACCGUGCGAACGUUGUUCGGAUUCACUGGGCUUAAAGGGCGCGUAGGCGGGGGGUCAAGUCCGAGGUGAAAUCUUUCGGCUCAACCGGAAAAGUGCCUUGGAUACGGACUCUCUCGAGGGAGGUAGGGGCAUGUGGAAUUCCCGGUGUAGCAGUGAAAUGCGCAGAUAUCGGGAGGAACACCAGUAGCGAAGGCGGCACUCUGGGCCGUGACUGACGCUGAGGAGCGAAAGCGUGGGUAGCAAACAGG